AGAGUUUGAUCCUGGCUCAGGAUGAACGCUGGCGGCGUGCCUAAUACAUGCAAGUCGAGCGGUAAGGCCCCUUCGGGGGUACACGAGCGGCGGACGGCUGAGUAACACGUAGGAACAUACCCCAAACUGAGGGAUAACUGCUCGAAAGAGUAGCUAAUACCGCAUGUGAUCUAAGGAUUAAAGCUUCGGCGGUUUGGGAAUGGCCUGCGUAUGAUUAGUUUGUUGGUGAGGUAAUGGCUCACCAAGACUACGAUCAUUAGCUGGUCUGAGAGGAUGAUCAGCCAGACUGGGACUGAGACACGGCCCAGACUCCUACGGGAGGCAGCAGUAGGGAAUUUUCCACAAUGGGCGAAAGCCUGAUGGAGCAACGCCGCGUGCAGGAUGAAGGCUUUCGGGUCGUAAACUGCUUUUAUAGGUGAAGAUUAUGACGGUAACCUAUGAAUAAGGAUCGGCUAACUCCGUGCCAGCAGCCGCGGUCAUACGGAGGAUCCAAGCGUUAUCCGGAAUUACUGGGCGUAAAGAGUUGCGUAGGCGGCAUAGUAAGUAGGGCGUGAAAGCGUGUGGCUCAACCAUAUACACAUGUCCUAAACUGCUAAGCUAGAAUAUAGAAGAGGUCACUGGAAUUCCUUGUGUAGGAGUGAAAUCCGUAGAUAUAAGGAGGAACACCGAUGGCGUAGGCAGGUGACUGGUCUAUUAUUGACGCUAAGGCACGAAAGCGUGGGGAGCAAACGGGAUUAGAUACCCUGGUAGUCG
This 753-nucleotide ribosomal RNA is filed under the name uncultured bacterium. RNAcentral describes it as "bacterial SSU rRNA". It matches the Rfam family "Bacterial small subunit ribosomal RNA", at positions 8 to 796 of the family's 1533-position model. The record is from RNAcentral.